GCGAGAAACCUUUGCAAUGUGCGCAAGCACGACAAGGUUAAUCCGAGUGUUUCCUGCUAAAGGAAUCUUUUGUUAGUUCUAAAACCACUGAUGAAUAAGGGGUGGGCAAGUUCUGGUGUCAGCCGCCGCGGUAAAACCAGCACCUCAAGUGGUCAGGAGGAUUAUUGGGCCUAAAGCAUCCGUAGCCGGUUCUGUAAGUUUCCGGUUAAAUCCACUAGCUCAACUAAUGGGCUGCCGGAAAUACUGCAGAACUAGGGAGUGGGAGAGGUAGACGGUACUCGGGAGGAAGGGGUAAAAUCCUUUGAUCUCUUGAUGACCACCUGUGGCGAAGGCGGUCUACCAGAACACGUUCGACGGUGAGGGAUGAAAGCUGGGGGAGCAAACCGGAUUAGAUACCCUAGUAGUCCCUGAGCGGGCUGGCAAGGCGCAU
This 430-nucleotide ribosomal RNA is filed under the name uncultured bacterium. Its description in RNAcentral is "bacterial SSU rRNA". It matches the Rfam family "Archaeal small subunit ribosomal RNA", at positions 339 to 776 of the family's 1478-position model. The record is from RNAcentral.